Molecule: ribosomal RNA, 207 nt
Filed under: uncultured bacterium
Lineage: Bacteria
Description: partial 16S ribosomal RNA
Rfam family: Bacterial small subunit ribosomal RNA
Source: RNAcentral
CGGAUUGUAGGCUGAAACUCGCCUGCAUGAAGUCGGAAUUGCUAGUAAUCGCGGAUCAGCAUGCCGCGGUGAAUACGUUCCCGGGCCUUGUACACACCGCCCGUCACACCAUGAGAGCCGGUAACACCCGAAGUCAAUAGCCUAACCGCAAGGAGGGCAUUGCCGAAGGUGGGAUUGGUAAUUGGGGUGAAGUCGUAACAAGGUAAC